UCCCUGGUGACUCAGAUGGUAAAGCAUCUGCCUGCAAUGCAGGAAACCCAGGUUCAAUCCCUGGGUUGGGAA
This 72-nucleotide transfer RNA is filed under the name Ovis aries (sheep). It matches the Rfam family "tRNA". From Rfam's summary of the family: Transfer RNA (tRNA) molecules are approximately 80 nucleotides in length. Their secondary structure includes four short double-helical elements and three loops (D, anti-codon, and T loops). The record is from Rfam by way of RNAcentral. Lineage: Eukaryota; Metazoa; Chordata; Mammalia; Artiodactyla; Bovidae.